CCCCGGGCCGGGAGCGGGACCCGGGCUCGGCCUCGCACCGCAGGCACGGCGCGUCCGGCCCCGCGGAGCCGGGGAAACAGAGCGGAACCCGGCCCCACCCGGACGGUGUGAGGGGAGGGACUGAUAGCCUGCGGCUCGGGAGCGCAGGUGGCUCAGGGAGGCGCUCGGAGGUGCCUUAGACAGGUGUGCCGCGCCUUUGAAGCCUGGGAAUAAAGUGAGACAGACCGGGCAAGGAAAUCGUUUCUUAAUAACUCCUUCCUGAGCUGAAAUGCUUACAGUAUACCAGCAUCUUCAGGAAAAACACAAACACAGGGCAAAGGAAAAAGCUCUUUGGAAAAACAGAGGAUCCUGCUCCUGUACUCUGGACUUCACCUUCUCAUUCUGCUGGUUUUUUCUUUGUCAAUCCCUCCCAAGGAGAUUUCUUCCAAUCUAAGACAUUUCCAAUUGACAUAGAUCCUAGUUUUGCUAUCUCUUUCAUCCAGUUUUAUGGGAAAAGCUUCUGAAAGGAAAAAUAACCAAAUAAAAUAAGCAUUUAUAUCUUUUUCUCAUCCUCACAGAAGAUGUCACGGCAGAUCAGUGUAAGACUUCCGAAAUUCUUUAGCUAUCCUGUGUCCUAUAAAAGUAAUUAUUAAUUCCUUAAGGAGGAUAAAAAUUCAAAACAUAAGGAAGAAAAUUGAGGGGUUGAUUUUUAAACCCCACAGUUGAUUCUUUCAGGUGAGGUACAGAAUUUUUAAAAAUACUCUAGAGAUUUAAAUUUGCCCAGACAAGCUAUAAUUCUGUAUCCUUUUGACUGGGAAGGUGUCACAGGCAAAGAAUUGCAUUCCACAAAUCAAAGGUGUUGGUUUGGGCUGCCAUCCCUUAAUAGCCCAAUUAUUUCCAGCUUCCACCUAAGGUUGUCAAGACUUUGUCUUUUGCCACUACUUCUGUUGCUGUGUUACCCAAACGGGUCUAGCACUGACUUGCACAACCUCCUUGCCUACAGAAUGGAAAAUUGAUCAACCACAUAUUUCAGUCUGACCUUGUAAACAGCUGUAACUGAAGAAAAUCUCUUGGAAAGUGACAAGUAAAGUGGAAUUUCAAGCGUCCCACAGAGGUAUCUGCAGGUCCUCCACUGCGUCUUUAUGGAGUUAAUACAGAGAAAUUAUGCUUUAUUUUGUUUCAAAGAGGACAGAUGCUAAAAAGUGCCAUCAGCAUCUGCUAACUAUAAACUAAUUAUUCCAUGGCAGUGUCAGAUUACCCCUUCCAAAUACACUGAACCUGUUGUAUUUGUGAUAACCAACAGAAUUGCUUGCACUUUUGUAAUAGCACAGGAGCAUGUAAUUAGUCUGGCUUCACAGAAGGCUAUUUUGUACUACAGCAGAAUUUCCUAUGUCAGUAACACUCAGGAACGAAGAAGUGAAGACUGACAUGCCAACAGGUGUGCUCACACACUCUACUUGCAGUCAGAAAAAUCCAACUUGUCCAGAAUGAAUUUAGUGCUUUGCUUCAGUGCUUUCGGAAAUGGUGAUUAAGACUUCAUGUUAUAAUCUGGAGCAAGGUGAUUAAUGGCCCCUCAAAAAUCCACACAAGGUCUCAGCUGUAACUUACUGUUUUCACUACUGUUGGAGACAAUAAAGGAAGAAAGAGUGUGAAACAAAGUGAUAAGGAUUUGUGGCUUUGGGGUGUAAAAGCUUUGGUUUAUAAGCCUAAGUAGCUUAAUGUUGGGCAUGCAGACAUCUCAAUCACACCGAGGGUGGCUGUCACAAAACAGCUUGUCAGGUUUCAUCUGGAGAGGUUUACAAUGCAUCCUUUAAUGGAGUGUGAUUAUUGCUGUCACAAACACCAGAUGAGAAGUCAGAAAAUAAACAUAGUCCAGCAUCUGAUGCAAAGUCUGUGGUUUUAAUUGCCAUUGUUUAAUUACCUUAGUUAAAGAAAUGGAAGUGUUGGUUGUUCCAAAAAGGUUUUUAGACAUACAGAAAAAUCCUCACAUAAAUACUACUUUUAUCAUUUAAUGUUUUCAACCUGUUUAAAAUAAUAAAAUUGUACAUGAUUGUCA
Molecule: long non-coding RNA, 2035 nt
Organism: Corvus hawaiiensis (hawaiian crow)
Lineage: Eukaryota; Metazoa; Chordata; Aves; Passeriformes; Corvidae
Exons: 2
Source: RefSeq, a predicted model, not a curated record